This is a long non-coding RNA of Mustela lutreola (European mink), 904 nucleotides long. RefSeq lists it as uncharacterized. The record is from RefSeq and is a predicted model, not a curated record. The transcript is spliced from 8 exons. NCBI's taxonomy places the organism in Eukaryota, Metazoa, Chordata, Mammalia, Carnivora, Mustelidae.
ACGGCCUCUGAGUGGAGGUCCACCGAGAGGUUCUAGGGGCAUGGCCUCUGAGCGGAGGUCCACCGAGAGGUUCUAGGGGCACGGCCUCUGAGCGGAGGUCUACCGAGAGGUUCUAGGGGCACGGCCUCUGAACAGAGGUCCACCGAGAGGUUCUAGGGGCACGGCCUCUGAGCAGAGGUCCACCGAGAGGUUCUAGGGGCAUGGCCUCUGAGCAGAGGUCCACUGAGAGAUUCUGAGGGCACGGCCUCUGAGUGGAGGUCCACCAAGAGGUUCUAGGGGGCACGGCCUCUGAGCGGAGGUCCACUGAGAGGUUCUAGGAGCAUGGCCACUGAGCAGAGGUCCACUGAGAGGUUCUAGGGGCACGGCCUCUGAGUGGAGGUCCACCAAGAGGUUCUAGGGGCAUGGCCACUGAGCAGAGGUCCACUGAGAGGUUCUAGGGGCACGGCCUCUGAGUGGAGGUCCACCAAGAGGUUCUAGGGGGCACGGCCUAUGAGCGGAGGUCCACCAAGAGGUUCUAGGGGCACGGCCACUGAGCAGAGGUCCACUGAGAGGUUCUAGGGGCACGGCCUCUGAGUGGAGGUCCACCGAGAGAUUCUGAAGGCACGGCCUCUGAGCGGAGGUCCACAGAGAGGUUCUAGGGGCACGGCCUCUGAGCGGAGGUCCACCGAGAGGUUCUGAGGGCACAGCCUCUGAGCAGAGGUCCACCGAGAGGUUCUAGGGGCACGGCCUCUGAGUGGAGGUCCACCGAGAGGUUCUGAAAGCACAGCCUCUGAGCAGAGGUCCACCGAGAAGUCUUGAGGGCACAAAAGAUGGUCAAUUUUGCUAAUAAGGAGAAGGACUUCUCAGUGUUCGUCCACGACACGGCAUUUCCACUCAGACUGCAAAUGAAACGCAGUGAUGAUCU